This 73-nucleotide transfer RNA is filed under the name Bos taurus (domestic cattle). It matches the Rfam family "tRNA". Rfam says of the family: Transfer RNA (tRNA) molecules are approximately 80 nucleotides in length. Their secondary structure includes four short double-helical elements and three loops (D, anti-codon, and T loops). The record is from Rfam by way of RNAcentral. Lineage: Eukaryota; Metazoa; Chordata; Mammalia; Artiodactyla; Bovidae.
UCCUUGGUUGUCCAUUGGCUAAGACUGUGGGUUCCUAAUGCAGAGGGCCCAGGUUCAAUCCCUGGUCAGGGAA